UAACGGCUCACCAUGGCAAUGAUACGUAGCCGACCUGAGAGGGUAAUCGGCCACAUUGGGACUGAGACACGGCCCAAACUCCUACGGGAGGCAGCAGUAGGGAAUCUUCCACAAUGGACGAAAGUCUGAUGGAGCAACGCCGCGUGAGUGAAGAAGGGUUUCGGCUCGUAAAACUCUGUUGUUAAAGAAGAACAUAUCUGAGAGUAACUGUUCAGGUAUUGACGGUAUUUAACCAGAAAGCCACGGCUAACUACGUGCCAGCAGCCGCGGUAAUACGUAGGUGGCAAGCGUUGUCCGGAUUUAUUGGGCGUAAAGCGAGCGCAGGCGGUUUUUUAAGUCUGAUGUGAAAGCCUUCGGCUCAACCGAAGAAGUGCAUCGGAAACUGGGAAACUUGAGUGCAGAAGAGGACAGUGGAACUCCAUGUGUAGCGGUGAAAUGCGUAGAUAUAUGGAAGAACACCAGUGGCGAAGGCGGCUGUCUGGUCUGUAACUGACGCUGAGGCUCGAAAGUAUGGGUAGCAAACAGGAUUAGAUACCCUGGUAGUCCAUACCGUAAACGAUGAAUGCUAAGUGUUGGAGGGUUUCCGCCCUUCAGUGCUGCAGCUAACGCAUUAAGCAUUCCGCCUGGGGAGUACGGCCGCAAGGCUGAAACUCAAAGGAAUUGACGGGGGCCCGCACAAGCGGUGGAGCAUGUGGUUUAAUUCGAAGCUACGCGAAGAACCUUACCAGGUCUUGACAUACUAUGCAAAUCUAAGAGAUUAGACGUUCCCUUCGGGGACAUGGAUACAGGUGGUGCAUGGUUGUCGUCAGCUCGUGUCGUGAGAU
This 824-nucleotide ribosomal RNA is filed under the name Lactiplantibacillus plantarum. RNAcentral's name for it is "bacterial SSU rRNA". It matches the Rfam family "Bacterial small subunit ribosomal RNA", at positions 258 to 1073 of the family's 1533-position model. Lineage: Bacteria; Bacillati; Bacillota; Bacilli; Lactobacillales; Lactobacillaceae. The record is from RNAcentral.